GCGGGUGUAGCUCAUUGGUAGAGCAGUCGCUUCCCAAGCCACGUGUAGAGGGUUCGAUUCCCUUCACCCGCUCCA
This 75-nucleotide transfer RNA is filed under the name Phascolarctobacterium sp. RNAcentral's name for it is "tRNA-Gly". It matches the Rfam family "tRNA". Rfam says of the family: Transfer RNA (tRNA) molecules are approximately 80 nucleotides in length. Their secondary structure includes four short double-helical elements and three loops (D, anti-codon, and T loops). Further hydrogen bonds mediate the characteristic L-shaped molecular structure. tRNAs have two regions of fundamental functional importance: the anti-codon, which is responsible for specific mRNA codon recognition, and the 3' end, to which the tRNAs corresponding amino acid is attached (by aminoacyl-tRNA synthetases). tRNAs cope with the degeneracy of the genetic code in two manners: having more than one tRNA (with a specific anti-codon) for a particular amino acid; and 'wobble' base-pairing, i.e. permitting non-standard base-pairing at the 3rd anti-codon position. The record is from RNAcentral. Lineage: Bacteria; Bacillati; Bacillota; Negativicutes; Acidaminococcales; Acidaminococcaceae. RNAcentral also lists the same sequence under 2 other names.